Molecule: long non-coding RNA, 211 nt
Filed under: Elaeis guineensis (African oil palm)
Lineage: Eukaryota; Viridiplantae; Streptophyta; Magnoliopsida; Arecales; Arecaceae
Description: long non-coding RNA (EGUI_LNC069406)
Source: RNAcentral
AUAUGGGUGGUGGUUGGUGCUUUGAUGGGGUGUAGCAGCAUAGUUAGAGAUCCGAUAGCGAGCGACCGACGACGGUGGGGCAGGGGACAGCCGAUGACGUGGAUUGGCUAGCUAAAAAUCAUGAAAAAAUGGUCAAAAUAAGGGAAAGCAUUCUUGAUGGAAAUCUGAUGGGAUUUCAAUGAAUCCAAUGGUUGGUGGCGCUGCUAUGGUC